RNAcentral lists this ribosomal RNA (2457 nucleotides) under Enterobacter kobei. Its description in RNAcentral is "bacterial LSU rRNA". It matches the Rfam family "Bacterial large subunit ribosomal RNA", at positions 506 to 2925 of the family's 2925-position model. Lineage: Bacteria; Pseudomonadati; Pseudomonadota; Gammaproteobacteria; Enterobacterales; Enterobacteriaceae. The record is from RNAcentral.
AGGGAAAGGCGAAAAGAACCCCGGCGAGGGGAGUGAAAAAGAACCUGAAACCGUGUACGUACAAGCAGUGGGAGCCUACUUGUUAGGUGACUGCGUACCUUUUGUAUAAUGGGUCAGCGACUUAUAUUCUGUAGCAAGGUUAACCGUAUAGGGGAGCCGAAGGGAAACCGAGUCUUAACUGGGCGUUAAGUUGCAGGGUAUAGACCCGAAACCCGGUGAUCUAGCCAUGGGCAGGUUGAAGGUUGGGUAACACUAACUGGAGGACCGAACCGACUAAUGUUGAAAAAUUAGCGGAUGACCUGUGGCUGGGGGUGAAAGGCCAAUCAAACCGGGAGAUAGCUGGUUCUCCCCGAAAGCUAUUUAGGUAGCGCCUCGUGAACUCAUCUUCGGGGGUAGAGCACUGUUUCGGCUAGGGGGCCAUCCCGGCUUACCAACCCGAUGCAAACUACGAAUACCGAAGAAUGUUAUCACGGGAGACACACGGCGGGUGCUAACGUCCGUCGUGAAGAGGGAAACAACCCAGACCGCCAGCUAAGGUCCCAAAGUCAUGGUUAAGUGGGAAACGAUGUGGGAAGGCACAGACAGCCAGGAUGUUGGCUUAGAAGCAGCCAUCAUUUAAAGAAAGCGUAAUAGCUCACUGGUCGAGUCGGCCUGCGCGGAAGAUGUAACGGGGCUAAACCAUGCACCGAAGCUGCGGCAGCGACACUAUGUGUUGUUGGGUAGGGGAGCGUUCUGUAAGCCGUUGAAGGUGGCCUGUGAGGGUUGCUGGAGGUAUCAGAAGUGCGAAUGCUGACAUAAGUAACGAUAAAGCGGGUGAAAAGCCCGCUCGCCGGAAGACCAAGGGUUCCUGUCCAACGUUAAUCGGGGCAGGGUGAGUCGACCCCUAAGGCGAGGCCGAAAGGCGUAGUCGAUGGGAAACAGGUUAAUAUUCCUGUACUUGGUGUUACUGCGAAGGGGGGACGGAGAAGGCUAUGUUAGCCGGGCGACGGUUGUCCCGGUUUAAGCAUGUAGGCGGAGGUUCCAGGUAAAUCCGGUACCUUUUAACGCUGAGGUGUGAUGACGAGGCACUACGGUGCUGAAGUAACAAAUGCCCUGCUUCCAGGAAAAGCCUCUAAGCAUCAGGUAACACGAAAUCGUACCCCAAACCGACACAGGUGGUCAGGUAGAGAAUACCAAGGCGCUUGAGAGAACUCGGGUGAAGGAACUAGGCAAAAUGGUGCCGUAACUUCGGGAGAAGGCACGCUGAUAUGUAGGUGAAGCCCCUGCGGGUGGAGCUGAAAUCAGUCGAAGAUACCAGCUGGCUGCAACUGUUUAUUAAAAACACAGCACUGUGCAAACACGAAAGUGGACGUAUACGGUGUGACGCCUGCCCGGUGCCGGAAGGUUAAUUGAUGGGGUUAGCGGCAACGCGAAGCUCUUGAUCGAAGCCCCGGUAAACGGCGGCCGUAACUAUAACGGUCCUAAGGUAGCGAAAUUCCUUGUCGGGUAAGUUCCGACCUGCACGAAUGGCGUAAUGAUGGCCAGGCUGUCUCCACCCGAGACUCAGUGAAAUUGAACUCGCUGUGAAGAUGCAGUGUACCCGCGGCAAGACGGAAAGACCCCGUGAACCUUUACUAUAGCUUGACACUGAACACUGGUCCUUGAUGUGUAGGAUAGGUGGGAGGCUUUGAAGCGUGGACGCCAGUCUGCGUGGAGCCGCCCUUGAAAUACCACCCUUUAAUGGCUGGUGUUCUAACGUAGACCCGUAAUCCGGGUUGCGGACAGUGUCUGGUGGGUAGUUUGACUGGGGCGGUCUCCUCCCAAAGAGUAACGGAGGAGCACGAAGGUUAGCUAAUCCUGGUCGGACAUCAGGAGGUUAGUGCAAUGGCAUAAGCUAGCUUGACUGCGAGAGUGACGGCUCGAGCAGGUGCGAAAGCAGGUCAUAGUGAUCCGGUGGUUCUGAAUGGAAGGGCCAUCGCUCAACGGAUAAAAGGUACUCCGGGGAUAACAGGCUGAUACCGCCCAAGAGUUCAUAUCGACGGCGGUGUUUGGCACCUCGAUGUCGGCUCAUCACAUCCUGGGGCUGAAGUAGGUCCCAAGGGUAUGGCUGUUCGCCAUUUAAAGUGGUACGCGAGCUGGGUUUAGAACGUCGUGAGACAGUUCGGUCCCUAUCUGCCGUGGGCGCUGGAGAAUUGAGGGGGGCUGCUCCUAGUACGAGAGGACCGGAGUGGACGCAUCACUGGUGUUCGGGUUGUCAUGCCAAUGGCACUGCCCGGUAGCUAAAUGCGGAAGAGAUAAGUGCUGAAAGCAUCUAAGCACGAAACUUGCCCCGAGAUGAGUUCUCCCUGAGACUUUAAGUCUCCUGAAGGAACGUUGAAGACGACGACGUUGAUAGGUCGGGUGUGUAAGCGCAGCGAUGCGUUGAGCUAACCGAUACUAAUGAACCGUGAGGCUUAACCUUACAACGCCGAAGCUGUU